UUUUUUCAGCCUAAAAUAUCAUGGAAGUCAUUCCUUCACAUAACUUUUCACACGAGUAUAAUACCCUUGUUUCCAAGAAGUUUCAGGAAUUUUGACUAAUUUUGCAAUUUUUAUUUUUUUUCCCAAUUCGGGUGCAUUGACACCCAAGACCCAAAGAUCCGCGUCCAUCAGACCCCUCUCAACAAAGUAGGGAAGAAUGUUAUCGUCGAGUUUUAUCUAUUUUGUCAGUUGUAGAUCCAACCACAUUUAACUUAAAUGAAGUGUUGUUACGUUGGUUUUUAGCUUGAGAAUGACAUGAUGUGUUUAUGGAAUUCUACAUGAUUAUGUUAUUGACCCAUGACGAGAAAGUUUUGAUCCUUCUAUGCCUCUGUUUUUUGUUUGUUAACUAUUAUUGUCCACUCGACAUCUCAAAUAGUAUAUAUUUUGUGAUAAUAGUGGACAUUCUCUCUGACGUAAGAACUGGACUAAUUGUUCUUUCAGUCCGAGAAGGCUUCAUGGAAUUAUGCUGGUAUUUUUAAGCUUUCCAACAUAAAGGGCAAGAAACGGGAACCAAUACCAUCUUCAGCUCUUCAUGGUGAUGAUGAUAUGGAUAGUGACAGCAGCAGCGACGAAGAUGAUGAAGAAAUCAAUGAAGAUGCAGAGCCCAUUUUGCAUUUACAAAAGGUGGCUCACGAGGGGUCGAUAAACCGAAUACGCUCAAUGAAUCAAAAUCCGGAAAUAUGUGCUACAUGGGGAGACACAGGUCAUGUUCAGGUAAUUUACUACGGUUAGUCCACAUCUGAUUUAUCAAAACCACAAAAUUUAUGCUGCACAUCAUGCCCUGCUCUUUUGAGAUAUAUCAACUUUUUUUACUGUACAUCAAACUGAAGUUUAUUAUUUUCAUUAAUUCCCUACGAAAAAGCCUCAGAAUGUACAUGGGUAGUGUCCUAUUUGCCCAGCAACAGAAUAUAUAUUCUGUGCAUUAUAUUUCCUUCCGAAAACUUGCUCAGGAACAGAAUGCAUCACAUUGUCUACUUCCAUGUGCUAUAUAAUUAGCUGCGUGCUCUGUUGAUUACAUAUGCAGGUGUGGGACUUCAGCUCCUUCAUUGCUUCAUUAGAAGACCCAGGAACAGUUACACAUAAAGAUAACAGCAUUAUGCACAAUCAUGUACCUCUAAAAGUAUUUAGUGGCCACAAAGAUGAAGGCUAUGCUAUUGAUUGGAGUCCAAAUGUUACUGGAAGACUAGUUUCUGGCGAUUGCAAUAAGUGCAUUCACCUUUGGGAGCCGACUUCAAGCGAUUGGAGUGUAGACACCAAGCCAUUUGUUGGACACUCUGCAAGUGU
Aegilops tauschii subsp. strangulata is the source of this 1323-nucleotide non-coding RNA. NCBI's taxonomy places the organism in Eukaryota, Viridiplantae, Streptophyta, Magnoliopsida, Poales, Poaceae. The record is from RefSeq and is a predicted model, not a curated record.